Molecule: ribosomal RNA, 396 nt
Filed under: uncultured Alphaproteobacteria bacterium
Lineage: Bacteria; Pseudomonadati; Pseudomonadota; Alphaproteobacteria
Description: bacterial SSU rRNA
Rfam family: Bacterial small subunit ribosomal RNA
Source: RNAcentral
GAGUUUGAUCCUGGCUCAGAGCGAACGCUGGCGGCGAGGACCUAAACAUGCAAGUCGAACGCCGUAGCAAUACGGAGUGGCAGACGGGUGAGUAACACGUGGGAACGUGCCUUUUGGUUCGGAACAACACAGGGAAACUUGUGCUAAUACCGGAUAAGCCCUUACGGGGAAAGAUUUAUCGACCAAAAGAUCGGCCCGCGUCUGAUUAGCUAGUUGGUGGGGUAACGGCCCACCAAGGCUACGAUCAGUAGCUGGUCUGAGAGGAUGAUCAGCCACACUGGGACUGAGACACGGCCCAGACUCCUACGGGAGGCAGCAGUUAGGAAUCUUGGACAAUGGGCGCAAGCCUGAUCCAGCCAUGCCGCGUGAGUGAUGAAGGCCUUAGGGUUGUAAAGC